Molecule: transfer RNA, 73 nt
Filed under: Paludibacteraceae bacterium
Lineage: Bacteria; Pseudomonadati; Bacteroidota; Bacteroidia; Bacteroidales; Paludibacteraceae
Description: tRNA-Thr
Rfam family: tRNA
About the family: Transfer RNA (tRNA) molecules are approximately 80 nucleotides in length. Their secondary structure includes four short double-helical elements and three loops (D, anti-codon, and T loops). Further hydrogen bonds mediate the characteristic L-shaped molecular structure. tRNAs have two regions of fundamental functional importance: the anti-codon, which is responsible for specific mRNA codon recognition, and the 3' end, to which the tRNAs corresponding amino acid is attached (by aminoacyl-tRNA synthetases). tRNAs cope with the degeneracy of the genetic code in two manners: having more than one tRNA (with a specific anti-codon) for a particular amino acid; and 'wobble' base-pairing, i.e. permitting non-standard base-pairing at the 3rd anti-codon position.
Source: RNAcentral
GCCGCUAUAGCUCAGUUGGUAGAGCGCCGCAUUCGUAAUGCGUAGGUCGCGAGUUCGAGUCUCGCUAUCGGCU